This 224-nucleotide long non-coding RNA is filed under the name Elaeis guineensis (African oil palm). RNAcentral's name for it is "long non-coding RNA (EGUI_LNC048616)". The record is from RNAcentral. Lineage: Eukaryota; Viridiplantae; Streptophyta; Magnoliopsida; Arecales; Arecaceae.
UAUCACAAGAGAUUGUAUCUUAAUUUCUGAUAAUCAUCUAGCUUAUGCUCAAGAUAUAUCAUCUUCUAGAAUCUAAAGAAAUACUUAUAAUUGAACCACUACUUUUCAAUAUUACUUGCACCACAAUCUUAAGUAAUUAUAACCCAAGUUCUCAUGCUACUUAAAUCAUAAUCUUAAAUGAUCAUAAACCUAAGCUCUGAUACCAAAUAUGUAACACCCCACCC